AUUGAACGCUGGCGGCAGGCCUAACACAUGCAAGUCGAACGGUAACAGGAAGAAGCUUGCUUCUUUGCUGACGAGUGGCGGACGGGUGAGUAAUGUUUGGGAAACUGCCUGAUGGAGGGGGAUAACUACUGGAAACGGUAGCUAAUACCGCAUAACGUCGCAAGACCAAAGAGGGGGACCUUCGGGCCUCUUGCCAUCGGAUGUGCCCAGAUGGGUUUAGCUAGUAGGUGGGGUAACGGCUCACCUAGGCGACGAUCCCUAGCUGGUCUGAGAGGAUGACCAGCCACACUGGAACUGAGACACGGUCCAGACUCCUACGGGAGGCAGCAGUGGGGAAUAUUGCACAAUGGGCGCAAGCCUGAUGCAGCCAUGCCGCGUGUAUGAAGAAGGCCUUCGGGUUGUAAAGUACUUUCAGCGGGGAGGAAGGGAGUAAAGUUAAUACCUUUGCUCAUUGACGUUACCCGCAGAAGAAGCACCGGCUAACUCCGUG
Molecule: ribosomal RNA, 490 nt
Filed under: uncultured bacterium
Lineage: Bacteria
Description: partial 16S ribosomal RNA
Rfam family: Bacterial small subunit ribosomal RNA
Source: RNAcentral